GACGAACGCUGGCGGCGUGCUUAACACAUGCAAGUCGAAUGGAAAGGCCCUGCUUUUGUGGGGUGCUCGAGUGGCGAACGGGUGAGUAACACGUGAGUAACCUGCCCUUGACUUUGGGAUAACUUCAGGAAACUGGGGCUAAUACCGGAUAGGAGCUCCUGCUGCAUGGUGGGGGUUGGAAAGUUUCGGCGGUUGGGGAUGGACUCGCGGCUUAUCAGCUUGUUGGUGGGGUAGUGGCUUACCAAGGCUUUGACGGGUAGCCGGCCUGAGAGGGUGACCGGCCACAUUGGGACUGAGAUACGGCCCAGACUCCUACGGGAGGCAGCAGUGGGGAAUAUUGCACAAUGGGCGGAAGCCUGAUGCAGCAACGCCGCGUGCGGGAUGACGGCCUUCGGGUUGUAAACCGCUUUCGCCUGUGACGAAGCGUGAGUGACGGUAACGGGUAAAGAAGCACCGGCUAACUACGUG
Molecule: ribosomal RNA, 468 nt
Filed under: uncultured bacterium
Lineage: Bacteria
Description: partial 16S ribosomal RNA
Rfam family: Bacterial small subunit ribosomal RNA
Source: RNAcentral